RNAcentral lists this long non-coding RNA (1595 nucleotides) under Homo sapiens (human). RNAcentral's name for it is "HSALNT0386271". Lineage: Eukaryota; Metazoa; Chordata; Mammalia; Primates; Hominidae. The record is from RNAcentral.
GGCCACAGCUCCUCCCACCUGUUUUAUUGUUCCUGCUGGACUUUCCACCUGGAACGCUUACCUCUGCAUCUCCGGUGGUGUAGGAGGAGGUCUGGUGGAGAGUCAGGACUUUCACUAUCAGCCAGCAGUAAUAAAACCAUGCCACCCAAGUGUUAAUGGAGACCACCUGGGGAGCCAGAGCUCCUACCACUGCCAGGAAGUAACAAGGAACUCUCCCCAUAACCUGCAUCAUCACUUUUGGUGUCAAGAAAGGCUCAGUGGGAAAUCUGGCCUUUUACCUCCAUUUGCCAGUGACAAGCAAGUGCUAUUCCUCCCCCUGCUGAAGUGGCAUUAAAGAAAUGAAGUUAAAACAAGAGGUUUAAAUGAGAUCUAAAGGCUUAUCACUUAAUAAAAAGUGUUCAAGAUUCAAUUUAAAAAACUCACUUUUCAUACCAACAGCCAGAAAGAUCUCAAACUGAAUGAAAAACAAUCAAUAGAGGCCAAUGCUAAAAUGACAGAGGUAUUAGAAACGUCUGACAAAGAUUUUUAAAGUGACCAUGAUAAAAAUGCUUCAAUGUGCAAUAUAAACAUGCUUGAAACAAAUAAAAAAAAGACAAUCUCAGCAAAGAAAUAGAAGAUAUAAAGAACUAUAUGAAAAAUGAAAAGUAAAAUGACUGAAGUAAUAAACUCAGUGGCUAGGCUUAACAGAAUGGAAGUGACAAAGGAAGGAUCAGUGAACUGGAAGACAGAACAAUAAAAAUAACUCAUUUAAACAACACAGAGAAAAUAGACUAAAAAAAAAAACCAGUUUCAGUGACCUGUGGGACUACAAUAAAACAUCCAGCAUUUAUGUUAUCAGGAUCCCGAAAGAACAGGAGAGACUGAAGAUGACAAAGCACUGAAAGAAAUAAUGGCUGAAAACUUCCCAAAUUUGGCAAGAGACAUAAAUCUACUGAGCCACAAACAGGACAAAUCCAAAGAAAUUCAUGUCAAGAUUCAUAAUAAUUAAACUUCUGAAAAUUAAAGACAAAGUUCUGAAAGCAGGCAGAGAAUGACAUCUUACCUGAAGGGGAAAAACACACAAGCAAGCAAGUAAACAACAUAAUAGCAGACUUUUUUUAUCUUAAAUCAUGGGGGCCAGAAGAAAGCAGUACAGUGUUUUUUGUUUUGUUUUAUUUUGUUUUGCUUUCUUCAAAUGCUGAAAGAAAAGAACUGUCAACCCAGAAUUCAAUAUCCAGUGAAAGUAUCCUUCAGGAAUGAAUGGGGCCAAUGAAGAUAUUCUCAAAAGAAGGAACUUUAAUAGAAUUUAUCACUAGCAGACUUACCCUAAAGAAAUGGCUAAAUGAAGUUCUCUAAAUGGAAAGUAAAUGGUAAAAGAAGGAGCCUUGGAACACCAGGAAGAAAAAAUAAAAGCUAAAAUACAGGUAAAUACAAUAGACUUUCCUUCUUUCCUUGAGUUUUCUAAAUUAUGUUUGACAGUUAAACUAAAAAUUAUAAAACUGCAUAAUGUGAUUCUAAGUGUAUAUAGAGAAAACAUUUAAGAUAAUUGUAUUUAAAUGGGGGAAGGUAAGGACAUGUUAAGGGAGGUAAGUUUUUUAUACUUCACCCAAAUUGGU